CCGGCGCACGGGUGAGUAACGCGUGUGCAACCUGCCCGGCACAGUGGGAUAAUCCGGAGAAAUUCGGUCUAAUACCGCAUGACGCGGGAAGGGCGCAUGCCUUUUCCGCCAAAGGAGGCGACUCCGGUGCCGGCUGGGCACGCGUGACAUUAGCUAGUUGGCGGGGCGACGGCCCACCAAGGCGACGAUGUCUAGGGGUUCUGAGAGGAAGGUCCCCCACACUGGUACUGAGACACGGACCAGACUCCUACGGGAGGCAGCAG
This 263-nucleotide ribosomal RNA is filed under the name uncultured bacterium. RNAcentral's name for it is "partial 16S ribosomal RNA". It matches the Rfam family "Bacterial small subunit ribosomal RNA", at positions 95 to 354 of the family's 1533-position model. The record is from RNAcentral.